AUUUGAUAGGAAUAAUCACAUAAUAAUCUUAAGGUUCUGUGCUACAUAAUCAUAAUCUUAAAGUUCUAUGCUAGAUGCUGUGAGAGAUUCUAAGACAAACCAGGCAGUGCUUCUGUCUUCAAGCUACUUAUAGUCUGAUAGGGGAGCUAAGACAUGUAUGUAAAUAUAAUAAAAGGAAAAAAAACAGGUAACAUGAAAGUAUUAGUGAUCACCACAAAACAGAUCCUCAAUAAAUAUUUAUUUGCCCACUAAAUGUUUGUUCUCAUCUAAUUAUAAAGUGCUUUGAGAAUUGGCCCAUUUGUAAUUUUUUCAUUCUGUGUCAUGAUUUUUUUAUGUAGCUUUCACCUGCUUUUUUGCCUGGUGGCAAUAUUGAUCUAGGCAGUAUUGAUCUCACUCUUCAUUGGGCUUGUUGACAGCUCAUUUAGUUAACUUCAAGCAUUUGCUGUCUAAACCCAAUCCAUAAGCAGUCUCAUUUUCAAAGACAUAAAUGGGUAUGAGACAUUGAGGGAAGUGAGAAGUGAGGGGCAGGAAUUAGGCAGUAAUGACUUAGACUGAAGCAGAAAAAUAAUAUGUGCACAGAAUUAUUGCAAAUGAUUUUACUACUCACUUUUCUUCAAGAACUUAAGUCGUUCAUUUUCUUCAUAUUUCCGCUUCCUCAUUGGUUGGAUCAAUCAGUGUUUUCCAAAGUACAAAACAUGCCUUGUUGGUGAAUUAUAACAAUUUAGUGGCCACCUCUACCAUUUUUAAAAGAUGUAGAAUAGCAUUGGAAAUAUCACAAUGCAUCACAGAUAGUGAAGAUAAUAUUUUUUGAAACUUUGUAAAUAUUGGAUUAUAAUUUUAUUUAUUUUUGUUUUUAUGUCGUGCUGGAAAUUAAAUCCUGGACCUGUUCAAGCUAAUAAACACAUACUCCACCACUGAGCAACCCAGCCUUCAACUUUUUUUUUUUUUUUUUUGGUACUUGGGAUUGAAACCAGGGGUGCUUAACCACUGAGCCACAUUCCCAGACUUUUUAUUAUUAUUAUUAUUUUUUAUUUUGAGAUACCUUCUUGUUAAGUCGAUUCAGGUCUCACUAAGUUGCCGAGGCUGGGCUUGAACUUGCAAUCCUGUUGCCUCAGCCUCCUGAGCUGCUGGGAUUACAGGUGUGUGCCUUCAUGCCCAGCCCUAUAUUAUAAUUUUAUAUGUAAUCCUAAAUGAUGUUAGAGGAAGAAAAGUAUGACUCUUUUUUUAAAAAUUAUUUUUAAGUUAUAGGUGGACACAAUAUCUUUAUUUUUAUGUAGUGCUGAGGAUUUUUAUGAUGAGUGCCUCAUGCAUACUAGGCGAGCAUGCUAGGUGAGUUCUCUACCUCUGAGCCACAACCCCAGCCCAAGUUUGGCUCUUUGUAAUUACAUCAUAAACAAAACUACUUUGUUUUGAGAAUGAGUUUGAAAAAUGUUGUGAAGAAAAGUGGGAUAGCCAGUCAAAAAUAGGAAUAUUUCCAAAUUCCCUCCUAUGGCUUGUGGCAAUCUACUGGUUAUUCCAGAAAUACUAUUAUGAAUCUUUUUUUUAUAUGUUUUACAAAUACAAAUCUCAUUUAAAUCAAUGCCAUUAUAUUUUCUGGUCUAUAGAAUUUGCAUUUCAUGUACUAGCUGACUUAGAUGAGAGAAAUUGCUUUUCUAAUAUAGGCAAAUAUAUUCAACCUGAAUCCCUGAACAAAUGACCUUAUUAUUCUGCCUCUGUGUAGAAUCUAACCAAGCAUUAGACUAUGGUUAGGACAGAAAUUUGUUCUGCAGGUGCUUAGACAGUUUUAUAGUUCAUACAGAUGUGAGACUUGUUACAGAAAAACUAUUUGUAGGUAUCCAGUCUGUAAUAAGCAAAGAGCUAUCAUUUGACAGACUAUACUUGUCUAAACAUCAAAAGCAGCACCAUCAAAAUUAAAAACUUGAUAAUAUCAAUGUAGCCCUCUUUAAAAACAUGUCACUCACUGAGCAAACAGCUUGAUAGGAUAUUUUUUAAAUGAGUAGAUAAUAUAAAUAUCGUACCUUAAAAAAUAGCUUUAUGAAACAGUUACUAAAAGGAAACUUGUAUUUUUUAUUUUUAAUAUACUAUUCAGAUUUCUUUGUAAUUACAUCAUAAUCAAAACUACUUUGUUCUGGGUGAUGUUCAUACAUAGGAAGGAAUGCUAUAAAGAAGUGAGUAGGAUAGAGAAACUGGUAUAUAUACACGAUGGAAUAUUUCUCAGCAUUAAAAGAAUAAAAUCAUGGCAUUUGCAGAUAAAUGGAUGGAGUUGGAGAAUAUAAUGUUAAGUGAAGUUAGCCAAUACCAAGAAACCAAAUGCCAAAUGUCUGAUUCAUAAUGGGGAUGGGGCAGGGGGAGCAUGGGAGGAAUAGACGAACUUCAGAUAGGGCAAAGGAGAGGGAGGGGAAAGGGAGGGUGGAGUAGGAAAGACGGUGGAAGGAGAUGGACAUCAUUACCCUAAGUACAUGAGUGAAAACACAGUGUGACUAUUUUGUGUUCAACCAGAGACAUGAAAACUUGUGCUCUAUUUGUGUAAUAUGAAUUGAAUUACUUUCUGUCAUAUAUAAAUAAUUAGAAUAGAUAAAAUUUAAAAUUAAAAAAAAAGUGAGUAAAGGGACCAGUAAAACACAAAAAAGGACUGGGGAUGUAGCUCAAUGGUUAAGUACCCCUGGGUUCAAUCACCAACAGCCCCACCGCCAAAAAAAAAGCAAGUAAAGAAUAUUGCUCAUUAUAAUGGGAUUCUACCCACUUAUAAAAGUUUAGUUACCACAAUAAAUGACUAAGGUUGCUUAAGUGGUUAAUUUAUCUUAGUCUUUAUGAGAAGGUAAAGUAAGCCAGAAUUUCUAAUCAAACUAAAAUAAUGUACUUUUUACCUAACUUUGCUUAAUUUUAUUGUAAAGUAAAUUUUAGAAAAGGGUCUGGAAACUCUUUUUUUGUUUGGUUGGUUUUUAUUAGUUCACCUUAAAGUUAAACGUACAUUGGCUUGUAGAGUAUUUCUUGGAAAAACUUAUUAGUGAACUAGUACAGAAUGUGAAUCAUUUGCCUGAAAUACAAGAUUGAUGUUUACAAGGCAGUUGUCCAGAAUCUUCUGGCUGAAUUGCAAAGUAUUUCACUCUUCAUCACUGUAUGUGUUAUUUAAAACAUACACCAUUUUGGUACACAGAAAACCCACUUAAAAUUGAAUUUAAAAACUCUCCUAAGAAUCCUGUGGAACAUUUAUUGUUUUAUAACUUAAAAUUUCUAGCAAAAAUCUCUUUAACACCUUAAAAAUAUUUUUAGAAAGAGCUAAUCCAAAAUAUGUAAUAUGUAUAAAGGAGUAACAUUCUUAAUAUUUUAUAUAUUGCAGUGCUUAGACACAUAAAAAGCAGCAUUAACUUCAUUCUCCCCAAAAUGAAACAAGCUACAAAUUUGAAGCUAAGAAAUGCAGUAAAAAUCAAAAGCUAUUUCUAGGUUAAGUAUGUCUACUUUUAUUUUAAUCUAAAAAAUAGCUGAUUUUUUUAAAAGUGUUCUGUUAUUUUAUGCAUAUAACUUCUCUGACAAACUUGGAAGAAUUUAUAACAUAUUAGAUAUUUUGGUUCUUUCUUGUGUGAUUAAAAUGAUAACACCCAAGCUAAACUUCCAGAUAUUGCCCUUUUUUCUUUGUUCUUUUACAGAAUAGCUCUCUAGUAGACAGACAGCCCUGCCUGUGGUAUUUAGGUGGCAUGUUUGCAUGUGAAUUUUUUCAUUCUCAUCGAGUUCCAAUAUAGGCCACAAAAAGUAGAGUUUGAUUGUCUUAAAUCAUUCCACUGAAAUAUUGAUCCAAACUACCAUAUACUGGAAUAAAAAUAUAAGCAAUUUGGAGACUAAAGCAUUUAGAAACAAAAUAAUUUAUAUGCAAGGAUUUACAAGGGAAUCUAAGGACAGAUUUAUUAAAUAAAAAAUAUGAAAAGUAGACAGGUCUGGUGGCACACUUGGUAAUCUCAGUGACUUGGGAGGCUGACAAGAGGAUUUCAAGUUCAAGGCCAGCCUGAGCAACUUAGCAAGACCCUCAAGCAACUUAGUGACAUGCUGUCUCAAAAUAAAAAAUAAAAGGACUAUGUAGCUUAAUAGUACCCCUUGAUUCAGUCCCUAUCACCAAAACCAGCAAACGUGAAAAUUAUUUAAAGGAAAAAAAUCUAGAAAUUUUUCUUCAUGAUAGAAAAUGAUUUUCUAAUUUUUUCUUUUAUUUUGAUAAUACUUUGUUUACUACAUCUAUGAUUAAGUGUCUCUCCUUUUGUGAAUUAACGACUCUGCCCUUUCCCUUCUAUUUUAUCUAAAUGUAAUCAGAAAAAUUGCCUCUGCUUUAUUCUGCAUUCUGAAUUGAUAAUUAUCAAAUGGAUUUACUAACAAAUGAGUUUCAUGAAGAUACUGGAAAAGAAAAAUGAUUUUCUCAAGUAUCCAAAAAGGUCAUCAUGUAACUUCAGAUAUCAGUGUUGCCAAAAUCGUGGACAUAGUUAUUAGACAAUAACUUGUAGGAAAGACUCCAAGUUCCACCAACUUGGGGAAUGAGAACUGGACAGGGUGACUUUAUGUGGGUGUGUGAUGCUGGGGAUCUAACCCAGUGCUUUGCAUAUGCGAGGCAAGUGCCCUCAAGGUGACUCAUUGCUACUUCAUAUGAGUAUCUCAGGUGGUCCCCAAAGAUGACGUUGGGUUCAGUAAUUUACUAGAGGAUUCACAGAAUUCAAAAAAGCUUUUAUGCACAUGUGUAUGCUAUAUUACAGCAAAAGGAUAUGGAUUUAUAUCAGCAUCUGAAGACAUAGAAAGCAAAGUCUAAGAGACACCAGGCACAAGCUUCCAGUUGUCCUUUUCUAAUGAAGUCAUGUAGACAGCACUUUUCUUUCUCCCAGCAAUGUGUGAUCACAUUCUCCUAGAAUUGCCAACCAGGGAAGCUUGGUGUCCAGAUGUUUUUCCUGAGGGUUAAUCAUGUAGACAAGGCUGAUAGCCCAUCUGGCUGACUUUCAGUCUCCAGCCCCUACAGAGGUCAACCUGAAGCUACAUGGCCCAAGUCUCCCACCAUAAAUCACAUUGUUGGCUAAUACUGUCUGGCAUGGCCUAAAGCUCUAGGUAAACAAAAACACUCCUAUCAGGCAGGAUAUUCCAAGGAGUUUACCUUCCAGGAGGAGCUGGGCAAAGACCAAACCUUUUCUUGGAAUAUGAAGAUUUUAUAGUCAAUAUCUGUCCUAUAUCUCUUAGUGUUCAUUACUGUUGUUGCUAUUUGUUUUGUGACUUUCUUGAACUAAUUCUACAAAACCUAUUUUGUUGUUGUUGGCGUUGAAAGUCUUUGAUCAGUAGUUUGGUGGUCAACUAAUAAUGGGGUGGAAAUUUACCCAAGUAUCUUACAAGUAAUAAAAGUCCCAGCUUUUGCCAAGGGGAGGAAAAAAAAAAAAAAAACUGCUUUUUUGAUCCUUUACUGUAGUAUUGUUUUCUUCCUCUUCCAGUGACACCAUACAGAGAGCAUUUCAUUCUCCCAACAACAUGUGUGACAGCAUUCUCAAAGUAUUGUCAACCAGGGAAGCUCCCCCAAACUCCGGUGUCCAGAUUUUUUAUUAAGGGUCAGUCAUAUAGGCAUGACUGAUAGCUCAUGUGACUGACCUUCAGACUCCAGUGCCUCUCUCUUUCUUCUCUCUCUCCUCCCCGUUUUCUUUCCUUCAUCUUCAUCCUCUUAUUUUCCUUCUCUUCCUUCUUUCUCCCUUUCUUUCUCUGUCUCUUUCUUUUCUUCCUUCCAGUAUUGGGUAUUGGAUCCAGAGGUACUGAGUCCUUUUUAAUUUUUUAUUUUUAGACAGGGUCUCAAAGCUGACCUCAAAUUUGAGAUCCUCCCAAGUAGCUGGGAUUAGCAGGCAUAGGCCUCCUCUCCUGGUAGAACUAUUACUUUUUUUUUUUUUGGUACCAGGGAUUGAACCCCAUGAGUGCUUAAUCACUGAGCCACAUCCCCAGCUCUUUUUAUAUUUUUUGAGACAGGAUCUCAACAACUUGCUUUUGGCCUUGCUAAAAUUGCCGAGGCUGUCCUUGAACUUGUGAUUCUCCUGUCUUAGCCUCUCAAAUCACUGGGAUUACAGGCUUGUAUCACCACACCAGCUCAGAGAGAUUACCUUUGGAAGAAUGUUUCAUUGCACUUUAGAGGGCAGAAUUAUUUAUUUUGAAAGAACACAAUCCUUUUUUUUAAGGAUUAGUCAAAAUUUAUGUAACUGAAAGGGAAAAUAUAUAUGAACAGAGCCAGCAUUUGAAAUUUUUCUGGUUCUCUUAAUUUAUCCCAUAAAAUAUUUUGGGAUUUUCACCUGUUCCCUUUAAAAAGAAUUUAUUUUUAAUAGUUAUUAUAUCAAUCUUGAUACAUGGACAUGAGUAUGUUUAUCAAACCUGAAAGUUACCCAAUUGUUUAAGAUAUUUUAUUUACAUACUCUUAACACAUUAAACUCUUCACUGAUUUGCAAGUAAUUUUCAUAUUGAAGACUUAAGAAGAAUACCUUUUAUAGUAGUUUUGGGUAAUAAAAUAUCUGGAGUAGGGUUGGGUUGUGGUUCAGUGAUAAAGUGCUUGCCUAGCAUGCACGAGGCACUGGGUUCGAUUCUCAAUACCAUAUAAAUGUAAAAUAAAGAUAUUGUGUCCACCUAAAACUAAAAAAAUAAAUAUUUUUAAAAAUCUGGAGUAUAUCAAAUAUUUCUAAUUGUUUUUAGAGGUACUCCUUUGAGAGAAGUAAAUCUUUGUGAAUGUCUAGCAGCUGUUGGGGAAACUCCAAAGGCAGUUUAAAUAUAAAAAUCAUUGAGUGUUAUUCCAAAGGUAGGGGAAGAACUUGGGAAGGGCAAUAUCAGAAAAAGCAAUACAAGGAGAAAAAUAAUAACUAAAAAAAUAAUGCUUACUUAAGAACUUUUUAAAGGAUGAAGCACUUAAAAAACAGUUCAAGUUUCUGACAAACACAUUAGCAGGCUCUCGAGUAUUUUGUUUCUGUUCUGCUAUGUGGGCACUACUUUAACUGCUUGUUAUUCAGAGAAAACAAUAAUUUGUGGAUUUAACAGUAAAAAUCCAAAUCUAGUUUUAUUCUUUUAGAAUGCUACCCAUAUUUCAUAGAAUAAAAUUCAUAAGUCUUUGUCUUAUGAAAACAAAUUUAUGUACCUCCAGACAACUUUAUAAAAUCAGUUAAUGUAUUUUAUAAUAAACCAAGACCACCUACUUCUAUGGUACACCCUCAUAUUUAUCUUUUAAUAUUUUCUUUCAUAUUCUGGCACAUCCAGACAAAAUUAAAUUUUUACUUUUCAAUGACAAAAAAAAUGCAUUAUUUUUUACAAACAAAAAUUCAUUAUGUUGUAUGCACAUCCCAUUGAAAGAUGCACAAAAAUUUCUUCACAUUUCUUAAUAAAAAAGAAAAAGAUGUAUACCAAUUACCACAUGUGUUUAUAUAUCCUUUCUACCUGUUCAUUGAUGGUCACUUAUAAUGUAUGAAAACCCAAACAAGGGUAUAUUUAAUCAAUAUUGGAUGAGGGUUUUUUUAAUUCUCUGAAAAUAUAAUUUUUACUUUGUAGUUAAUUGUCAAAUAUUAUUUAAUGAUCAACUUAAUUCUAAUUUAUAAAUUAGGACAGUUUCUAUGGCCAGGUGCAGUAGUGCAUGACUGUAAUUCCAGAAACUCUGGAGGCUGAGGCAGGAGGUUCACAAGGUUGAGCCAGCCUGGACAGUUGUUUGUUACCCUGUCUCAAAAUAAAGAAUUUUAAAAAGGACUGGGCUUAAUCCUCGGUACUGAAGGGGGAGAAAAAAAGAAAGCAUGAAAAAUAAAAGAACUUUAGGCUCACUUUAGAAUGGGUACACAAACCAAGCAAAAACUUUGAAGUUUCUCUGAAAUUACAUAAAAAAAAUAUUUCAGAUAUAUAGAUUGAUUAAUCAACAUUUUCCUGAAGGAGAAAGUCUACUUUAGACAGUGACAGAUAUAUCAUUGAACAUAAACUAUUAUAAAAAAGAAAUUAUGCCUUUCAUUUUGAAAAGGAAAGUUCUUCAAAGCACAGAAGCACCAACCUUAAUUUGUAACAUUAGCCUCAGAUAGUUGAAAUGUAAUCAGAAUACAAAAAGCAUGAGUUAUUGGUUGGUGUUAGCAGCCCUAGAUCUCCACGUGGACACAAAAUUCUCAUUUUUCAUUUAUCUGGACUCAGUGGCAUACAAACAUGAAGAAUGACAGGCUUCCUCAGGCUCAGAAAACAGUAAAUCAGAGAUUGAGAGCAGCUUCCCCACCUGCUGGUGAGGUCCAUCAGUUCAACUAAACCAGUGGCUUAAGACCUUUGACAAAGUUAUGAUGUAUCUCAGAUAACAGGAGAUGGCAGAGCCUUCAAAGGGAACAAAGGACGAUCAGAUAUCUGGCAUUUGUUACCUCGUAGACCAGAGAGAGAAUAUAUUCUCAACAGUUGCCACCAAAGGAGAAAUAAGUAGUUGUGUACAAAUCAGAACCAGUGUGAAAACAAGAUGUGGCCAAGAAACAAAGAACCAGAAAAGGGAAUAGAAUCAACUAAAUUGAGAGCCUAUUGCCACAUGGAAUCCUCCCUAUGGGAGGAAAAGGGUGUACCUCAAACAACCCAUCACUUGCUCUUCAAAGACUAUGUGAUUGAUUUGGCUGUAGUUGAUGAAUCACUCUGGUGAAUAAACACAUAAAAUCUUGGUGGAAUCUAGAAUUAUUCAAGAAAUAUUCAAAGCACUUGGAAACAUUUAUUUUCAAGGAAAAUUUGUCACCAACUCCAAGUUUGUUUUGUUGUUGUUUUGUUUUAUGAUACUUGAGCUUGAACUCGGGGGCUCUACCACUCAGCUACAUCCGCAGUCCUUUUUAUUUUUUAUUCUGAGACCGUCUCACUAAAUUGCCCAGGCUGGUCUUGAACUUGUAAUACUUCUGCCUCAGCCUCUGAGUAACUAGAAUUACAGGUUUUUGAUUUUGUUUUGGUAUCAGGGAUUGAACCUAGGAGUGCUUAACCACUAAGCCACAUCCCAGCCCCUUUUUUUAUUUUGAGACAGAGUUUUGCUAAAUUCCUUAGGGCUUCACUAAAUUGCUGAGGCUGGCCUAGAACUGACAACCUCGAAUCCUCAGUCUCCUGAGUCGCUGGGAUUAGAGGCAUGUGCCACCAUGCCUGGCAGUUCCAAGUUUUAAAAGGACUAGCUCAUCAAAAAAUAAACAACACACACAAACCGGUAACAUUACUAUGUUUGCAGUUGUCUGUCUGUGGAAGUGGUAGAAAAGACAGUUUUCUCACCUGCCUUCCUAGUCAUCACUAGCAUAGCUUCAUCUAUCAGCAUUGCAAAAGUUGGUAAUAAAAAUGCUUUAAUUAAGGAGUCAGUAACUGAUAAGUUUACGAAAUUUAAGGCCUCUUUCAUUUGGGGAAAAUGAAUGACGGUGAUCCUGUUUUUGUUAGCUGCUCUUCUCAGGGUACAAGAUGUUUUAUUUUCUAACUAUGAUGUACGUAUUGAUAAGGGGCAGAGUGUCAUCUUCUUUAGUCCUUAUGGUUACCCAAUCCUUCCAUGAACAAAUGCUGAGGAGAUUUAUUAUUAUUUGAAGUAAAAGACAUAAUCAUAUGGUAUGGGGACGCCAAAGAUUUGGAAAAUAGGAAUAUACAUAUAUUUUCAUUUGAAGGAAACUGUCAUAUCUUUAUGGAUAAGACAAUAGGCAACUUGUAAUUCCUAGGAUUAUUAUAAUACUAAUGAUUAACACUAGGUAUGGUGGUGUACGCCUGUAAUUCCAGCAAUUUAGGAGGCUGAGGCAGGAGUAUUGAAAGCCAAACUAUGCAAUUUAGUGAGAGCCUAUCUCUAUCAAAAAGGGCUGGGGAUGUAGCUUGGUAGCAGUGGUUGUACCCAGUAGUAGAGCCUUUCUGGGUUUGAACUUCAGUAUUGCCAUGCCCUGUAGGUUAGAGAAGAAAUCCAAGUGGAAAUUAUAAACUAUUUAAGAAAUAAUGACAUACAACAAUCCACACUUGUUUGAGGUAGCAAAAACAAUGCUUUGAGGGAAAUUUAUAGUGCUAAAUGCAUAAAACUGUAGGAGGAUUGAAACUAUGGAUCUAAGCUUCCAUCUUGACAGCUGGAAAAAGAAGAGCAAAUUAAGUUCUAGCUAUUAAAAGCAAUGACCAUAACUGAUGUAAGCAGAAAUCACAGAGAAAACUUAUCUAAAUAACGGAAAACUCAAUAAAAGUAAAUAUUGGUUCUUUGAGAAGAUUAAUGAAAUCAGUAAAUUUCUAAUAAGACUAAUCAAGAUAAAAGAGCAAGUAUAGAAAUUUCUAAUAGCAGGAAUAUAAAAGUAGACAUUGCUAUACAUUUUAUAAACAUUAAAAAGAUAAGAGGCUUAUAAGGACAACAUCAAGAAAGGGGAAAUAUGCCCCAUCUUUAUCAUAUAUCUGAUCAAAGACAUGUACCUACAACAUAUAAAGAAUUCUCACAACUUUUCAAUAAAAAAGAACAAAAUUUAAAAGCUAGUAAAGGAUCUGAAUAGACAUUUUUCUAAAGAAGACAUAAAAAUGACUAAUAAGUACAGGAAAAGAUGUUUGACAUCAUUAGCCAUUGGGAAAUGCAAACCAAAACCACAAUGACAUAUCACUUCACACCAAUUAAAAUGGUUUAAAUUUAAAAUUUUAAAAAAGACAGUAACAUCUCCCCAUCAAAAUACUAAUGACAUUUUUUCACAGAACUAGGAUUAAAACAAUCCUAAAAUUCAUUUAGAAGAAUGAAGCACACAGAAUAGCCAAAGCAAUUCUAAGCCAAAAAAGCGAUGCUGGAGGCAUCACAAUACCUGACUUCAAAUUAUACUACAGAGCGAUAGCAACAAAAACUACAUGAUACUGGCAUAAAAGCAGACAGACACAUAAACCAUUAGAAUAGAAGACAAACAUCUGUGGUCAUCUGAUCCUUGACAGGUGUGCCAAAAACAUACAUUGGGGACAGCCUUUUUAACAAUGGUGCUGGGAAAACUGGUUAUCCACAUGUAGAAAAGUGAAACUAGAAGCUUAUCUCUCACCUGCAUAAAACUUAAAAUGGAUCAAAGACUUAGGAAUUAGACUAGAAACCUAUGCAACUCCCAAAAGAAAAUGCAGGAUCAACACUCCAGCAUAUAGACAUUAAACAAUGACUUUCUCAAUAGGACCCCUAAAGCUCAGGAAAUAAUGCUAAAAGUUAAUCAAUGGGAUGGCAAAGGAAACAAUUUGGAGUGUGCAGAACCUACAGAAUCAGAAAAUCUUUGCUAACUGCUCUUCUGACAGGAUUAAUAUCUAGAAUAUAUGAAAAUCUCAAAAGAACUUUACAGCAAAAAGUAAAAUAACUAAAUUAAUAAAUGGGCAAAGGAGUUUUUUUUGUUUUUUGUUUUGUACCAGAGAUUGAACCUAGGGGCACUUAACUGCUGAGCCACAACCCCAGCCACUGUUCCCUGCUCCCUGUAUUUUUUUUUUUUUUUUGAGACAGGAUCUCUGGGUAAAGGAAUUAAACAGACACUUCUCAAAAGAAGAAAUAUGAAUGUCCAACAAACAUGAAAAAAUGUUCAACAUCAUUAGUAAUUAGGGAAAAGCAAAUCGAAACAACAGAGAUUUCAUCUCACACCAUUCAGAAUGGCAGUCAUCAAAAACACAAAUAAUAAAUGCUGGAGAGGAUAUGGAGAAAAAGGAACACUUUUACAUUCUUACAUUGCAGAUUAGUAUAAUCAUUAUAGAAGUCAGCACAGAGGAUCCUCAAAAGAUUAGGCACAGAACCACCAGAAGACUCAGUGAUACCACUCCCAGGUAUUUUUCCUAACGAAAUUCGGGUCAUCAUACUACAGUGAUAUAUGCAUACCCAUGUUUAUAGCAGCACAAUUUACAAUAGCCAAACUAUGGAACCAGCUUAGGUGAGCAUCAGUGGAUGAAUGGAUAAAGUAAAUGUGCUACAUAUAUGCAAUGGAAUUUUAUUCAGCCAUAAAGAAAAAUAAAAGUAACCAGGCACAGUUAGUUGCACAUGCCUGUAAUCCCACUGGCUUGGGAGGCUGGAGGAUCAUAAGUUCAAAGUCAGCCUCAGCAACUUAGUGAGGCCCUAAGCAACUUAGCAAGACCCUGUCUCAAAAUAAAAUAUAAAAAAGGCUGGGGAUGUGGCUCAGUGAUUAAGUGCCCCUGGUUCACCCUCCAGUACCCCCAUCCCCAAAAAAGAAAAGAAAUUGUGUCAUUUGCAGGAAAAUAAAUGAAACUGAAGACCAUUACAUUAAGUGAAAUAAGUCAAAUUCAGAAGAUCAAAUGUUUUUUUGUUUUCUCUCAUAGCAACUAGAGAGGAAAAAGGAAAAGAAAGGUGGGGGCAGAUCUCAUGAACGUCAAAGGGAGAUCAGUAGAGGAAAUGGAGGUGGGAAGGGAGGAAGAAGUGCUGGGGAGUGAUAGUGGUCAAAUUUUAUUAUUGUGUGCAUGUACAAAUAUGUAAUGUAUCAAUAAAAAAUCUGGAAAAUAAGACUAACAUGUAUUGCCAAGGCUGUGGAGAAAUUAGAAUACUCCAACAUUGCUGAUGAGAAUGUAAAUGAGUGCAGCCACUUUGGAAAAUGGCUGGAAGUGUCUCAGUAGGUCAGACAGUUAUCAUUUGACCCAGCAAUCCUACUCCUGCAUGUAUACUCAAGGAAAAUGAAAACAUAUGUACAGGAAAACUUGUACCUGAAAAUUCAUUACAGCAUUAUUCACAAUGGCCCCCAAAUGGAAACAACCCAGAUGUCCACCAACCAAUGAGUAAAUAAACGAAAUAUUGUGUAGUCAAGUUACAAUGCAAUGUUAUUCAGUCAUUAAAAAGGAAUGAAGUGGGGCUGUGUUUGUGGCUCAGUGGUAGAGCGCUUGCCUAGCAUGUGUGAAGCACUGGGUUUGAUGCUCAGCACUGCAUAUAAAUAAAAGUUCAUUGACAACAAUAAAAAAAUAUUUUUAAAAGAAUGAAAUAUUGAUACAUGCUAAAACAUGGGCAAAUCUUAAAAACAUUAUGCUAAAUUAAAGAUGGUCAUGAAAGACCACAUACUGUACAGUUCCAUUUAUAUGAAAUGUCUAGAAUGGGCAAAUCUUUGGAGACAAAGUAAGAUUAUUGGAUGCUGUGUACUGAGUAGGAGUGGCUUAGAGAAAAACAGGGAGUGAUUGUUAAUUGGAAUGGACUCUUUUGGGGAGAGAGAGUGAUGAGAUGUUCUAAAAUUGAUUGUGGUGAUUGAUGGCUGUAUGAAUCCAUGUAUACACUAAAAACCAUUGAUUAUACAUUUUAUGUGGGUUAACUGUAUUGUGUGUUAACUAUAUCUCAAUUAAGCUGUUACAAAUAUGAGACUGUAUUAAACAACCUUAUACCCCCCAAAUUUGUCUACUUAGAUAUUUUAUAUAUGAAUGUUUAUCACAGGGUGGCCAGCACCCUGCCAGGGUAGAUUCCGGUUCAGAAGGUUGUGAGCCACCUGAGAAAAAGAACAUCUGAAAUGUUUAGUAAGGGAUAUUACUCAGCAUUAAAAGAGAAUAAAA
Molecule: long non-coding RNA, 13440 nt
Filed under: Marmota monax (woodchuck)
Lineage: Eukaryota; Metazoa; Chordata; Mammalia; Rodentia; Sciuridae
Source: RNAcentral